GAAUCUUCGGCAAUGGACGAAAGUCUGACCGAGCAACGCCGCGUGAGUGAUGAAGGUUUUCGGAUCGUAAAGCUCUGUUGUUAGGGAAGAACAAGUACCGUUCGAAUAGGGCGGUACCUUGACGGUACCUAACCAGAAAGCCACGGCUAACUACGUGCCAGCAGCCGCGGUAAUACGUAGGUGGCAAGCGUUGUCCGGAAUUAUUGGGCGUAAAGCGCGCGCAGGCGGUCUCUUAAGUCUGAUGUGAAAGCCCACGGCUCAACCGUGGAGGGUCAUUGGAAACUGGGGGACUUGAGUACAGAAGAGGAGAGUGGAAUUCCACGUGUAGCGGUGAAAUGCGUAGAUAUGUGGAGGAACACCAGUGGCGAAGGCGGCUCUCUGGUCUGUAACUGACGCUGAGGCGCGAAAGCGUGGGGAGCAAACAGG
Molecule: ribosomal RNA, 426 nt
Filed under: uncultured bacterium
Lineage: Bacteria
Description: bacterial SSU rRNA
Rfam family: Bacterial small subunit ribosomal RNA
Source: RNAcentral